This is a long non-coding RNA of Lemur catta (Ring-tailed lemur), 6405 nucleotides long. RefSeq lists it as uncharacterized. NCBI's taxonomy places the organism in Eukaryota, Metazoa, Chordata, Mammalia, Primates, Lemuridae. The transcript has 2 exons. The record is from RefSeq and is a predicted model, not a curated record.
CAUGGCAGAUCUGAAAACUUUGGCCAGUUCUCAGAGGACUCUGGUAAGUUUAGGAAAGAAUUUGUAAAGCAGAGUCUGAGCUUUACCUUAACCUGGCAAGAUGUGAUGGUGAUUUUAGCCAAUUGUUGCACCCCAGAUGAAAAGGCUCCUUUGUACAGGCCGAUACCCCACAUUCUGUUUAUCAGGGGAGGCAAUCCCAGAGCAGGACCCCUCAUGGGACCUUGGACAUGAGAUAGGCAAACAUAAGAUGGGUCACUUUAUUACCUGCACAGUUGAAGGAGGAAAUGCAUGAGGAAGCAUGUGAAUUACGACAAGGUCAGGAAAGUCACCCAGAUCAGGGGGGGAAAAACAGCAAUCUUCUUCCACCAUGUUACUGAAACCAGAAAUUAUACUAAUGUUGACUCAGAAUUGUCGGAAGGAGAAGGCUUCCUGUGCAUUUUAUCACUCCAGUCUGCUCUGGACAUGAGAGGAAAGCUACAAAAGUUAGAGGCAGGACCCGAAACCUCACUGUCAACACUGGUAGAGGAGGCUUUUAAGGUUUUCAAUAACAGGGACAGGAGGAGAAACCUAACCAGCUGGUAGUUAAGAAAAUGCAGCUCUUGGCUGCUUUGAUUAACCCGCCACCUCGUGGUAACCCAAAGAGGCAGGUAACCCAUCUCUGCCGGGACAAGAGAUGUCUAGCCAGUGUGGGACCCAACCAGUGCACUUAUUUCGGGAAGGAAGGGCACCGGAAAAGGGAGUGUCCCGAUCGCCCCAGAGUGGUUAGGUCAGUUGAUUUCCCAGCCGGAAAUCUCCUCUUGGCCAAUCUCUGAAGGGAGAGCUGGUGCCACUGAUCAGCAGGACCUGGGAGCCUCCCCGGCUCUGACUUACAUCAUUGUCACCCCAGCAGAGCCUCAGCUUGCCCUCGACAUGGCAGGUAGGAAAAUUGCAUUUAUUUUUGUCACUGGAGCUGCCUACUCUGUCCUGCCUCAGCCCCUAAACCCCCUCUCCAGCCGUGACUGCCUGGUGUCAGGAAUAGGUGGACGGCUGGAGGUGAGACAGCUCACUUUUCGUCUUGUCUGUGAGGCCGGUUCCAAAGUUACAACUCACUCUUUCUUACUUGUUCCCUAAUGCCCCUCUCUGUGACUAGGUAGAGACCUGCUACGCAAACCGGGGGACACCAUCUCGUUAGAAAAAGACAGUCUCAAGGUGUCAGUAGACAGGGGACAAGGAAUCCAUUUAUUAGCCCUCCUAUGGCCAGGGAAUAGUAAGUCUUCCCCUAUCCCUGAUGGAGUUAAAAACCGGGUUAAUGUGGUGGUGUGGGACAUUACGGUUCUGGGGUGAGCCAUUGGAGUUUGCCCUAUUGAGAUAAAACUAAAACCAGGAGUAAAACAUCCCUGGAAACAGCUGUGUGUGUACAUGCGUACGAGCCCAUUCUGGUCCAAAACAUGGGGACACGAGAGGGAGAAGAGGCUGGUAUAAGAACACCCCAAACUGGAACUGGGACAGGGCUGGAGAGCAGACAGAUCUGGUUUUGUGGUGCCUGGGUCCCAAAGCCCUGCUGGAGGAGAGGAUGUACUGCCCUCGAAGGAGUCUGAGGUCUGGGGGGACCUGAAACUAUUUAAACCCGAUUCAGGGCAGACCCCUCAGCAUAGCUGCCCGGCAGGGAAUGGUGUGCCCUCCCUGGGAGAUGCAGGUACCUUUUAGUCUCCUCCAGUUCCUUAUGUCUUUCAAUAUGUAAUACCCAGCUGAAAAGGUGAAAAACGCUGUAUAUGAUACCAACUGAAGUAGGAAAUGUGACCCAUGGUCGUGAGAAAAGAACAGUUACUAAAGCAGAACCAAAGGUGACCUGGAUGUUUGAACCUCAAGACAAGGCCUUUAAGAUACUGUUAUAAACACAUCAGGUAACUUAGAGGAAAAGAUGAGCCAAAUGUGUGAACAGAUGAGGAAUUUUAGAAGAGACAUGGAAAUUCUAGAGCUAUAAAAAACACUGUGUUCCCCGUGAUGGUAAAUGCCUGCCUGUUCUAACUUAAUACUUUCGUAACUACUGAGAAUACUUCUCCAGACCACACAUGCUCUUCCUUCCUAAUUGUCUGGUAAAUUAAUAUUUAUCUCUGAGGCCUCCCUGGGACCCCAUGUCUAGCUUGUUAAAUGAAGGGAGCCCUGGGGUCUCUCACCAGCUCCCCUGCAGCCCACGUACCACCGGGGUUAGUGGGGAGGGACCCUGGGAAAGGCUCUCGGGGUGGGCUGGGCCCCGAAGGCGGCGUCCCACUGCCAGGAGCCCGCUGAGGGCUCAGACUUCAGCUCUUCCGCAGUCUGGAGAGCUGGGCCGUGGACGUUGCCACCCUGGAGCACGGCCCACUUCCGGCCUGGACUCCGCAUCAUUUCCGUCUUCUCGGUGCCACCCUCAGACCUCACUAAUGAGGACCGGCCCUCGUUUCCUACGUGGCGCCAGUCUGCAGAGCCGUCAGGGCCUGGGCGAUGGUGCGGGACCCUCUUGGUGAGCCUGGAGCGGCUCCGGUCUUGCUCUCAGGUGGGAGGACACGGCUGUAGCACACGCUCGGAAGCCCAUCCGUCUUUCCUUUUGGAGCCCAAAUGGCUGUAAGGGACGUCCCUGUACCUUUCCCAGCAGGAGCCAAGACAAGGGCUGUGGCCCUCCUGACCCAGGGUUGGGCGAUGGAUCGUGAGGGCAGAGACGGCUGGAGGGGCCCAUGAAGUGCACACUUCAGCUUUUGGACAAGGGUGGAGCCUGCUAUGAAACCCAUUUUCCUAUUAAUUAAUAUUUUCCUGUUAAUGAGGUUCCUUGGUGCCUGAAGAAGAAGUUGCUUUAAUAUUAGUUUGGCCAUUUGGACCGGGACAGGUCCGGGAGGUCUUAGGACGUUAGACAUCAAGGCUCUGGGGGACAGGCUAGCGCAGGGAACCCGCGGCUGGCGGCGCUCCCGAGCCGGAGCCACCUCCCUCCACGCCUGUCAAAACCCGCUUUAUCGGCCACUUCAGAGAAUCACAGCCCUUGUGACCAGAGACCUCGGACAUCUGGGAGCUGCAGUUACUUCUCUACAAACAAUGCAACUGAAUUUUGAUCAACACCUCAGAGCAGACAGCAGAGUCCAGUGACUUAAACAAGAGAGGUUAAGAGGAGAGAAAUUGCAAGCCCCUGGGGAAGAGGCGUGACUGCUGGCGACAUUCAGAAAUUGGGGGGCGUCCCUAGGUGGAAGGAGGGCGGCCAGGAGCACCCCCCAAUGGCAGGGUUCGCGGGGCUGCUGGGAGGAAGGCCAGGGGUCAAUGGGGACUGAUUUCCACUCUGGUCUGGUGGGUCUUUUGUUUCGUUUUGUUUUUGGAGGUGACCUUUUUUCCUUUUCCUAUGAAAUGAUUUUCUGCCCAGUGACCUCGUUAUUACAAUGGAAAGAGACACUCGUACUGCAGAGUAAAUAAUGUGACACUGGGCAGUGAUGUCUUGGCACGAGCUCAUGAAUUCCAUGUGACAAGCGUCCUUUUCUAUGUAGAGGUAGAAACUGAGACAAAGGGAGCUGAAGUUACUUAGCAAAAUUGCUACCAAUUAAGCUUUGUUUAUUUUUGGACAUUGGUGACAUCUGGGUUGAGAGCCACUUGAUUGCAAUACCCCCUCCUCCUUGUCAAGGGAAACAAGCGCUAGUGGAGCAGAGGCCAAGGGUGGAGGGAGUGGCGGGAAUGGUGAAGCCCUCCCACGCUGUCACCGUGCCGCCUGUCACCGUCAGGCACACUCACGGUUGGAGGAAGAACGCAUGAAUGGCCGAACGCACAUCUCAAAGCAUCUGAAAGGCUCCGAGAGGGGCGGGCCUCACGCCCAGGGUAGAGAAGGUGGCUUUGUAAGCAUGACUCCAGGGGCACCAUAAAUGCCAGUCCCCACGCCAAAGGUGUGGCAGGGACUGAGCUCCCGCCCCAGGGAACCACAGCUUUGCCUUCUCCAGGGUUUUAAUUUGAAAUGCAAAUACCUCCAUCGAGGGUGAUAAAGAAGCCCCGCGGUGUGACAGGUGCCGAGACUGAUGGAAGCCGGAGGGGAGUCAGGAGGAGGAGCUCUGGGAGGAGAUAAAAAGCAGGGAGACAGGACUGACACGUGGGUGACUUCACCCUUCGCCUGCGAGCGGGAAACCUGGAGUUAGAAUUCCUGGAGUUAGAAUUCCAUCGCCCUGGGCAGAGUCCCAGAGAGCUUAACUUAUCUCAGUUGUAAUGGGGUGAAGUAAAUUCUUUCCUUUUCUUAUUAUUCUCUGGUCUGCCUCCCACCGAGGAUCCCAACAAACCUUGGCACAGAGAUGCCCGGUACCAGAGGGGCGGGUGUGGGAGCUCUGGUGCUGGCCACUUCCGGAAGGUGGGCCACUUUGCCUUCCCCGGCUGUGGCAGGCACCAGGUUCCGCCUCCGCCAGGCUGGUUGCUUUGGGAGGUGCAGGUCUUCCUCUCCCUCCCCCUCCUGGAGACAGACAUGCUCCCCUGGAAGCCUAGAGCAGGAGUUUUUCUCUGUGCCUGGAGGGUCAUCUGUUACUCUGGCAGGAUCCCAGCAGAGUCAGCCCUGGGGUGCACGAGAACCACAACUCACUCUGAUGCCAGGGUCCUUUUUUCCAUCUUUAUUAGGUAAUCGAUCAGCAACAUAGAUCAGAAAAAAUUGUGCCCCGUUGACCGUAUUCUUGGAUGAAGACCAAUGAUGUUAAUUUUCAGUACAUCAACCUCCCGCCAGGCACUAAUUGGAGGGUUAAGGCUGGGGGAUGUGCCACUGGGGGGACCCGGGCAACCACACCCUCCAAGGGGGCCCAGGAGAUGUGAUUUUGCCAACGUACCCAACAGGCAGUAAAGUGGGAAAUUGCACCUGGCAGAGGGACCCUGAGGGUGGAGAUUUAAACGCUGCUCCAAUCCUCUUGUACUAUCGCUACUCGACGCUCCCCGGGCUGUAAUGAGAAGGAAAACGGCACGGCAGAGCUUGGAGCAGCCUCUGCUCCUUGUGCUCCAGAGAGAAGCUGCCUCCUUCUUGCACUGUAGCACACAUUUCUCUCCUAAACCCUGCUUUUAUCACCAUUGUGAGAAAACUGAAGUUGAAAGGUGACAAUUGACUGUGUCAAAUAUAUGGAGAGAAAUAAUCCAACAUCAAAGGCUUCUAGGGUUUUAGAUGGAGUAUUGACCUAUUGCAUUUUUUAAUGCCAUUUUUUUUGGUGUGUUUUUGUCGCCUUUAAACUUGGGCCUGAGUAACUGUCACCUGCGUGAGAAAUACCUGUGGUCUGAGCAGACGCAGGGUUUCGACAGCCGGCCGGGAAGAGGAUCAGAGAACCCGCACUCCCUGGGCUGUGGGGCCCUCAAGUGUCGGAGCCUGUUGGUGCUUGCUGCCCUGGCCUGAGAGGGUGCUCUGGGGAGCAGGGGCUGCCACCCCCGGUGUGGGAAAGGAAUCUUCCAUCUGUCCGGCGAGAUGGGGUCACAGCAUGCAGUGAGAGCGAGUCUUGCAAACAUGAGACGGAUAACAAGGAGAUAAGACUCAGUGGUUUCUUGCAUCUGGAAAUGGAGCUUUGUUAUUUAUUAUUGCAUUACAGAUUGCCCCCAAACUCAGUGGCUUAAAUGACAUUUGUUAUCUCGGUUUCUGUGGCUGAACCGAGUAGCCCUGGCUCAGGGUCACCCAUCUUGAGGUCCAGACGUCAGCCAGGGCUCUGCUCGUCUGAAGGCUUGUCGGGGGGUGGAGGAUCUGCUCCCAAGCUGACCCACCCACGUGGAUGUGGGCAAGGGACCUCGGUUCUUUGUCACGUUCGAGGGCUGUUCGAGUACCUUCAGCUGGCUUCUCCCAGGGUGAAUGAUCCGAGAGAGCAAGGGCAAAGCUGCGGUCUCUCAUGACUUACCCUCCGAAGACACCAUCGCUUCUGCAACAUUCUCUGGGUUGCAUGGGCUGGUUCUACGCAGCGUGGGGAGGGACAGCAGUCCCAGGAGGCGUCUGGAAGGCUGGUGACUGCAGGGCUGUCUGCUGCCAGCAGAGGGAUACGGGGUGGAGAACAGAGCCCCCAGGUCUCCCCAUGUUUUUCUCCCUCCUGAACAAACUGGGGGCCCUGCAAGAACUCCCUCUGGAACCUCUGCCUCAGGCCCCAGGCAGCGGGGAGAGCUCCGAGCCCGCCCUGGGGUUGCUGCUGGUGCCUGCUUGGGACACAGAGAUGCCUGAUUCGAAGGGCUUUCCUGGCAGAGCGCUGGGCAGAAGCAGCAGGUGGCUCCUGAGCCUGCCCCUGCUGCAAGCACCUUCUCUCCACCUCACACCUCUGCCCUUCAUCUGAGCUCAGGUUCGUGUCUCUAAAAAACAGAAAAAGGAAGCUUUUGCUUUGCCGACCUAGAUUGGUCUCAGCAAAAGCAAAGAUGCGUUUUCUCCCAGGGCCCAGGACAGCCAGCCCCCAAAUGAAGUUUUUUAAUAAAGGAGUUUGUUCCAUCUGA